UUCACAUAUUUUCAUAUAUAAAAACACUCAUACAGAAAAGGUUUGUGGAUUUAGAGAGAAAAGAAAGCAUUGACAUGUCGAAGGACGAAUAAAGUCGUCUACAAUGAAAACCAUUCCACAAAGCCUCAACCUUUGGAAAAAGGAAAUUGUUGUUUUGCAUCUAUACUCUAAAUAAAAAACAGAAUUAGAAUCGAACAGCUCCUUAAAACAGUCUCAGACAAACAGCGAUUGACGCAUUCAAAUAUGAAUUAUAACUAUCAAGCGACUAACGAAAUAGUCGAAACUAUGGCAAGUUUCGUGACACGCAAGUCCUAUGGCUUAUAAGCCUUCCUACAGUGGACAAACCCAGCACUAACAGUAUUGGAAAAUGUUUCAUGACUACAGCAGUGUGAGAUGAAGCAGAAUACAAUUGAAAUUUAAAUAGAAAUGGAAUGUUGCCUGUUCAAGAGCAGCAAAAUGGGGCAGCGAGUUAAUCAUCGGGAUAUUGAUCACCACCGAAGCUUCGUCGCUACUUCGAUGAUCCCGACAAACUCAACAAUAUCUAAAAUUUCACUAAAAUAGAGAAAUUUGUUCACUGAUUUUUGAUAAAUAAUUUUUUCUCUCCCUUUUCACCCUUUCGGACCUAGCUUUCUUCACUCCUCUUUAUCAGACCCAAAAUUUUUUAACCCAAAUUUUUCUUUUUCUUCCCCCCCUUUUUAACUCAAUCAAGAUCUGCUAAUAUAGAAGCAAGCUCGGGUUUCUCUUUCGUGACUUGAAUGAUGUGGGAAAAUUGAAGUUCGGGCUAAUUUAGGGAUUCCCCAUCGAGAUAUUUUCAAAAUUCAAACUGAAAAAUCCCCCUACAGCUUGGGUUUUCCUCUCCAAAUUGUACCGAUUCUUUUGGAUUUGUUAAGAGAAAUUGAGAAUAGGUGGACCAAGACCAUUUGGGCAAACUGAAUUCUCCUCUAAAUCAAUGAAAACCAUCCAAAUAUAUACAAAAUCUUACAAAUCAAUCCAAAAAUCAAGGCAUUUAAAUGUUGGGGAGACAACUCACCUAUUUCUAGAAGCUUCCUAAGCUUUUCUCGUACAGGUUCGCGUUGAAGCUGGUCAGGUCAGAGAUGGUGAUUUUGGGUUACAUCUUUACUGAUAUCGAUUGAGCACUGGGUCAAUUUUGGGGAAGCUGGGUUCGAUUGUUCGCGAUUUGGAAACCAGAAGCGUGUUUUUUUGUUUUUGCCGAUCGAUGUUGUAGGCUGUUCUGUUGUUGUUGAUUAAAGGAGAAAUAGGAAGCUGGGUCGGGUUGGAAGUUUGUUGGGUUUGGGCCUGUUGGAGUGGGUAAUUGGUGAAAGGAAUGGGCUGGUGUGGCUAGUUGUUAUGUGUAAGGGAAAAUGGGCUGCUAAAAUUGUUAUUAUCUUUGGGUUGAUUCGGUUAUUUUAAUGGAUUUGGCCAAUUUAAA
This is a long non-coding RNA of Capsicum annuum, 1429 nucleotides long. RefSeq lists it as uncharacterized. Lineage: Eukaryota; Viridiplantae; Streptophyta; Magnoliopsida; Solanales; Solanaceae. The transcript has 2 exons. The record is from RefSeq and is a predicted model, not a curated record.